ACUCUCUUGGUGGUUGAAGGCAUACUACACUUCCUUUGGCUCCCAUGACUUAUAGCUUCGAUUAAGGCAUUUUCUUGUUUUGCCUGAAAUGGUUCACUGUGUCAGUCUACUGUUUCAUGCAUCCUAGUCAUCUGGCAAAUGUAUCAUAUUACUGAAAAAACAAAACAAAAAAGAAAAGAGAUCGAAAAUAAAAAGGCAAAAAAGCAAAAACAAAAAGAAAGGAAAAACAAGCAAAAAACAAAAAAAAUAGCAGAAAAAAAUCAAAAAAAGAGGAAAGAAUUUAUUUUACUAACAUUAGAUAUCUUUUGUUCUGCAGCAU
This 319-nucleotide long non-coding RNA is filed under the name Elaeis guineensis (African oil palm). RNAcentral's name for it is "long non-coding RNA (EGUI_LNC006317)". Lineage: Eukaryota; Viridiplantae; Streptophyta; Magnoliopsida; Arecales; Arecaceae. The record is from RNAcentral.